Non-coding RNA from Acanthosepion pharaonis, 108 nucleotides. Lineage: Eukaryota; Metazoa; Mollusca; Cephalopoda; Sepiida; Sepiidae. The record is from the annotation of a GenBank genome assembly.
CUGCCAUAUCACGUUGUAACACCGGUUCCCGUAAGAUCACUGCAUUUAAGUAACGUCGAACCUGAUCAGUACCUGAAUGGGUGAACGUUUGGGAGUACCAGAUUCUGU